CCUACGGGUGGCAGCAGUGGGGAAUAUUGGGCAAUGGAGGCAACUCUGACCCAGCAACGCCGCGUGAAUGAUGAAGGUCUUCGGAUUGUAAAGUUCUGUGAUGGGGGAUGAACACAAUGACGGUACCCCAAUAGCAAGCCACGGCUAACUACGUGCCAGCAGCCGCGGUAAUACGUAGGUGGCAAGCGUUAUCCGGAAUGACUGGGCGUAAAGGGAGCGUAGGUGGUUUAGUAAGUUGGCGGUGUAAUUCCGGGGCGCAACCCCGGCGCUACUGCCAAAUCUAUUUGACUAGAGUGCAGGAGGGGUAAGUGGAAUUCCUAGUGUAGCGGUGGAAUGCGUAGAUAUUAGGAGGAACAUCAGGGGCGAAGGCGACUUACUGGACUGUAACUGACACUGAGGCACGAAAGCGUGGGGAGCAAACAGGAUUAGAUACCCCAGUAGUC
RNAcentral lists this ribosomal RNA (443 nucleotides) under uncultured bacterium. RNAcentral describes it as "partial 16S ribosomal RNA". It matches the Rfam family "Bacterial small subunit ribosomal RNA", at positions 338 to 795 of the family's 1533-position model. The record is from RNAcentral.